Molecule: transfer RNA, 82 nt
Filed under: Lachnellula suecica
Lineage: Eukaryota; Fungi; Ascomycota; Leotiomycetes; Helotiales; Lachnaceae
Rfam family: tRNA
About the family: Transfer RNA (tRNA) molecules are approximately 80 nucleotides in length. Their secondary structure includes four short double-helical elements and three loops (D, anti-codon, and T loops). Further hydrogen bonds mediate the characteristic L-shaped molecular structure. tRNAs have two regions of fundamental functional importance: the anti-codon, which is responsible for specific mRNA codon recognition, and the 3' end, to which the tRNAs corresponding amino acid is attached (by aminoacyl-tRNA synthetases). tRNAs cope with the degeneracy of the genetic code in two manners: having more than one tRNA (with a specific anti-codon) for a particular amino acid; and 'wobble' base-pairing, i.e. permitting non-standard base-pairing at the 3rd anti-codon position.
Source: Rfam by way of RNAcentral
GGCGGUUUGGCAGAGUGGUCUAAUUCGCCAGAAUGCUAUGUUGAUUUCCUCGAAAGCGGGAGUUCGAAUCUCUCAGCCGUCU